Molecule: ribosomal RNA, 253 nt
Filed under: uncultured bacterium
Lineage: Bacteria
Description: partial 16S ribosomal RNA
Rfam family: Bacterial small subunit ribosomal RNA
Source: RNAcentral
UACGUAGGGUGCAAGCGUUAAUCGGAAUUACUGGGCGUAAAGCGUGCGCAGGCGGUUUUGUAAGUCUGAUGUGAAGUCCCCGGGCUCAACCUGGGAAUUGCAUUGGAGACUGCAAGGCUAGAAUCUGGCAGAGGGGGGUAGAAUUCCACGUGUAGCAGUGAAAUGCGUAGAGAUGUGGAGGAACACCGAUGGCGAAGGCAGCCCCCUGGGUCAAGAUUGACGCUCAUGCACGAAAGCGUGGGGAGCAAACAGG